RNAcentral lists this ribosomal RNA (637 nucleotides) under uncultured bacterium. RNAcentral's name for it is "bacterial SSU rRNA". It matches the Rfam family "Bacterial small subunit ribosomal RNA", at positions 607 to 1244 of the family's 1533-position model. The record is from RNAcentral.
GCUUAACCGAAGAAGUGCAUCGGAAACUGGGUGACUUGAGUGCAGAAGAGGACAGUGGAACUCCAUGUGUAGCGGUGGAAUGCGUAGAUAUAUGGAAGAGCACCAGUGGCGAAGGCGGCUGUCUGGUCUGCAACUGACGCUGAGGCUCGAAAGCAUGGGUAGCGAACAGGAUUAGAUACCCUGGUAGUCCAUGCCGUAAACGAUGAGUGCUAGGUGUUGGAGGGUUUCCGCCUUUCAGUGCCGGAGCUAACGCAUUAAGCACUCCGCCUGGGGAGUACGACCGCAAGGUUGAAACUCAAAGGAAUUGGCGGGGGCCCGCACAAGCGGUGGAGCAUGUGGUUUAAUUCGAAGCUACGCGAAGAACCUUACCAGGUCUUGACAUCUUGCGCUAACCUAAGAGAUUAGGCGUUCCCUUCGGGGACGCAAUGACAGGUGGUGCAUGGUCGUCGUCAGCUCGUGUCGUGAGAUGUUGGGUUAAGUCCCGCAACGAGCGCAACCCUUGUUACUAGUUGCCAGCAUUCAGUUGGGCACUCUAGUGAGACUGCCGGUGACAAACCGGAGGAAGGUGGGGAUGACGUCAGAUCAUCAUGCCCCUUAUGACCUGGGCUACACACGUGCUACAAUGGUCGGUACAACG